This 229-nucleotide ribosomal RNA is filed under the name uncultured bacterium. RNAcentral's name for it is "partial 16S ribosomal RNA". It matches the Rfam family "Bacterial small subunit ribosomal RNA", at positions 91 to 334 of the family's 1533-position model. The record is from RNAcentral.
UACAGUGGCGUACGGGUGAGUAACACGUGGGUGAUCUACCUUUUAGUGGGGGAUAUCUCUGGGAAACCGGAGUUAAUACCGCAUAAGCUCGGAAGAGGAAAGCCGAAAGGCGCUGAGAGAGGAGCCCGCGGCCGAUUAGCUAGUUGGUGGGGUAACGGCUCACCAAGGCUGAGAUCGGUAGCCGGCCUGAGAGGGCACACGGCCACACUGGCACUGAAACACGGGCCAG